CCUACGGGGGGCAGCAGUGAGGAAUAUUGGUCAAUGGACGAGAGUCUGAACCAGCCAAGUAGCGUGAAGGAUGACUGCCGUAUGGGUUGUAAACUUCUUUUAUAUGGGAAUAAAAUGUUCCACGUGUGGGAUUUUGUAUGUACCAUAUGAAUAAGGAUCGGCUAACUCCGUGCCAGCAGCCGCGGUAAUACGGAGGAUCCGAGCGUUAUCCGGAUUUAUUGGGUUUAAAGGGAGCGUAGGUGGAUUGUUAAGUCAGUUGUGAAAGUUUGCGGCUCAACCGUAAAAUUGCAGUUGAAACUGGCAGUCUUGAGUACAGUAGAGGUGGGCGGAAUUCGUGGUGUAGCGGUGAAAUGCUUAGAUAUCACGAAGAACUCCGAUUGCGAAGGCAGUUCACUGGACUGCAACUGACACUGAGGCUCGAAAGUGUGGGUAUCAAACAGGAUUAGAUACCCUAGUAGUC
RNAcentral lists this ribosomal RNA (460 nucleotides) under uncultured bacterium. RNAcentral's name for it is "partial 16S ribosomal RNA". It matches the Rfam family "Bacterial small subunit ribosomal RNA", at positions 338 to 795 of the family's 1533-position model. The record is from RNAcentral.